Molecule: non-coding RNA, 760 nt
Organism: Oryza sativa Japonica Group (Japanese rice)
Lineage: Eukaryota; Viridiplantae; Streptophyta; Magnoliopsida; Poales; Poaceae
Source: RefSeq, a predicted model, not a curated record
CGCGCGCCAGCCGCCGCCGGAUGAUGCCGUUGAACUGCUUCGCGUUGACGUAGAUCGGACCCACGUCGGUGGCGAUCGCCGGCGGCAGCAGCAUCCUCCCAGCCUUUGAAGCACACAAAACAUUCAGAGAAAAUAUUCACAAGAUGUUCAGAGAUCAAGAAGACAAGAACUGAAGAACAUAUAUACCAUGGUUUGAGCUCCAUAGGGGGAGUAAACACCAUAGCUUUGUUCAGAGUUGCAGAAGUUGGUGCAAACCUUCAGAGUUGCAGAAACAAACAGUUAGCUGGUUCAACCAAAGAUGUUUUUGAGAUUCAGUUUCUGGAGUAAAUCUUGAAUUGGGUAAGAGAAUUCUCACCAUGGAGUGGCCAAGGGCUAGCUCAAAGUGUCCUUGGUACUCCUGCAAUGGCGAGUACGCGGCGAUGGUCGGCGCGGAGGACUCAUGGAACUUCAGAUCUUUGCCAAGAUCAGAGUCACCUGAAAACCACAGAGUUUUCUUCAGUUGUAAAGCUGCAUGACAUUGGGCAGCUUUCCUACUCGACAGUAAAUAAUCUCCUAUGUGCCCAGUACUACUUGCUUACUCUUGAAAAGAAACAAAAAGAUGAUUAGGAGCAGAAACACCUCUUAAUAACUGUGGCAACAACAACCUCACCUCCUUCACAGAAUCAGUGACCCCAAAAUCAUCAUCAUUUAAAGUUUCCUAGGACUUGGACCAUGAAAGUUUUCAGGACCACAGCAUCAUAUCUACAAUCUUUUCUUCACU